Molecule: non-coding RNA, 27 nt
Filed under: Rattus norvegicus (Norway rat)
Lineage: Eukaryota; Metazoa; Chordata; Mammalia; Rodentia; Muridae
Source: RNAcentral
UGAGCAUGGAUGUGUCAUCACCUAUGU